UAUCAAAAACAUCGCCUCUUGCUAAUUAUAAGAGGUCUAGCCUGCCCAGUGACCUAGUUCAACGGCCGCGGUAUCCUAACCGUGCGAAGGUAGCGUAAUCACUUGUUCUUUAAAUGAGGACUAGUAUGAAUGGCAUCACGAGGGUUAAACUGUCUCCCUUUUUUAAUCAGUGAAACUAAUCUCCCCGUGAAGAAGCGGGGAUAAAUUUAUAAGACGAGAAGACCCUAUGGAGCUUUAAACUAAGUAACAAUUGCCCUUUAAUUUUAUAAUUCCAGAACAAUAAACUCUAUUUUAACAUCAUGAUUACUAGUUUUAGGUUGGGGUGACCGCGGAGUAUAAAUUAACCUCCACAAUGAAAGAAACUUUAUUUCUUAGCCCAGAGUUACAACUCUAAGCACCAAAAAUUUGACAUAAAUUGAUCCAAUCUAUUUGAUCAACGAACCAAGUUACCCUAGGGAUAACAGCGCAAUCCACUUCAAGAGCCCCUAUCGACAAGUGGGUUUACGACCUCGAUGUUGGAUCAGGGUAUCCUAGUGGUGCAGCCGCUACUAAAGGUUCGUUUGUUCAACGAUUAAAACCCUACGUGAUCUGAGUUCAGACCGG
This 603-nucleotide ribosomal RNA is filed under the name Physalaemus signifer (Girard's dwarf frog). Its description in RNAcentral is "partial 16S ribosomal RNA". It matches the Rfam family "Bacterial large subunit ribosomal RNA", at positions 1805 to 2619 of the family's 2925-position model. The record is from RNAcentral. Lineage: Eukaryota; Metazoa; Chordata; Amphibia; Anura; Leptodactylidae.